Molecule: unclassified non-coding RNA, 301 nt
Filed under: plant metagenome
Description: partial contains small subunit ribosomal RNA, internal transcribed spacer 1, and 5.8S ribosomal RNA
Source: RNAcentral
UUUCCGUAGGUGAACCUGCGGAAGGAUCAUUAUUGAAACUUGAAUCGUAGCAUUGAGAACUGUUGCAGACCUGUUAAAGGGUAUGUGCACGUUCGACGUGUUGCGUUCUAUUCAUCCACCUGUGCACCUUUGUAGACUUGAUUAACUUUCGCUCUCGAGCGGUUAGAAGGGUUGCUUUCGAGCUCCCUUUGUCUAUCAAGUCUAUGUCUAUAUAAUCUCUUGUAUGUCUAGAAUGUCUUGUUUAUGGGACGCAAGUCCUUUAAAUCUUAUACAACUUUCAACAACGGAUCUCUUGGCUCUC